Oppia nitens is the source of this 236-nucleotide long non-coding RNA. RefSeq lists it as uncharacterized. The record is from RefSeq and is a predicted model, not a curated record. The transcript is spliced from 3 exons. NCBI's taxonomy places the organism in Eukaryota, Metazoa, Arthropoda, Arachnida, Sarcoptiformes, Oppiidae.
CCACACCGGGAGAGUUUCCAUGGAUUGUCUAUCUUUUGCAAACAAAAUAUAUGUUAGGAAUUUUCAAGUUAGACAGCUUUGAUUGUACGGGUAUUAUACUAAACACCAAAUGGAUUAUAACGGCUGCCCAUUGUAUUAAACCCGAUCUAAGUCUAACUGUUAGCACUGUCCAAAAUUGGCGACUACCUGGCCAUACCUAUCGUGCAGACAAAUGGUUUAUACAUCCAAACUAUUCG